Molecule: long non-coding RNA, 1745 nt
Organism: Cyprinus carpio carpio
Lineage: Eukaryota; Metazoa; Chordata; Actinopteri; Cypriniformes; Cyprinidae
Source: Ensembl
AUGUCAUUCAAGCAUUUCUUUCUUUUAGAUGAAACAGAGUUGAUCUCCCAAAGGAGCAAUACCAAAUCUUCCAGACAAAAGAAAGCAAAGAGCAAAGGGAAGAAGACAAAGAAGAAAAGAGAAAAAAACAAGAGCGAUCAUGGUGCCGCAGGAGGCCCGUGGCUAGAGAAACUGCACAUGUGUGAUAAUUCCAUUGAUGGCUCAGGAAAGGAGGAACUAAAUCAAUUCCUGGAGAUCCUUUGCAUGUAAGUGUCACCUUCUCAGUACAUGACUGAGUAUAUAAUGUCCAAAAUGUCAACUGUCUUUUAUUGGGGACUGGAAUUGUCAACACAUAUGAUCUAUUUCUGACCACAAAACUUCACACAGAUAUGUUUGAAAUGCUUUGACAGCUUUAACGCUGCUGUAAGCAAUGUUUACUUGUACCAGACUAAGCUACUAAAUUAGCUUGUCUUCGCCCUCGGUUUAAAAGUCUGCACCCUUGAUGAGCAUUCCCUGUUACCCUGUUGAAAAAGAAGUGUGCUUGUAGUGUACUUAAAAUGAUACUGUAUAGACUGUAUUUGCAGAUAAUAUAAUAUUAGUAACAUAACAGGCCACUUAAGUGUAGUUAAAGAGAACACUUCCAUGACUGUUUCAUAACAUACUUAUGUGCACUUAUGUCAUGUGUCUUAUCUUAUGUCAUGCUUUCAAGAAGUACACUUAUUUUGAUGACUAAAGCACAUGUAAGGUAUUGAAUUAUAAUUUUAACUGUAAUGUUUUAAACAAUAUUAAGUUUAAAGUAAAUAUAUUUUAAAUGUACUAAAUGUAAACUUCUUUAUUGCAAAUAUGCAAUUAAAUAUAUAUUUAAAUACAUGACGUACAGCAUUAAAGUAUAUUUUAGUUGACCCUAAAUGACUAUCAGUACAUUUGGAGAAAGAAAAUCAAAAUAAUUAUUAAAUUACAUGUAAAGAUGUCCUUAAGACGUACUUAAGUGGGUCAAAAAAGCACUGUAAAGUUCAAGGUUUAAUAUAAAUUUAAAAAGGGUAAAGGAUUGACUCACUGAUGCAAUUAAACAGUUCAAGCAUGAGGCUCAAUUCAUUACAAAAAUCAGCAUGGCAGCAUCAGGGUACAGUUUAGAGUAAAUGGAGGUCAAACUAAAUCUAAAGUCUAACUCUAAAAGUCAUUUAAGUAUAUUUGUCAACAGUCUCUUUAAGUUAGUGCCCAUAAUUUUUGAAACAAUUAUUUAAAAUGUACUUUGACAUUAUUACAAAGUGUACUUUUUAAAAGUGUCAUGAAACAGUUCUCUCUUAAAGUGCACUUAAGUGACCUUCAGUUUCAUUAAUUUUAUAUUAUCUGCAUGUAAAAAUACUUUUAAGAUUUGAGGUACACUUACAGGUGCACUUCUUUUUAUAAGAACAUGCUGUAAGAUUUAGCUGCGUCUGUUCUGUUUAGGAAUAAAUCGUCUUUUGCUUCCUAUAAGUCUUUACUGUCUUCCCAUCAUAUUUUAUGCACAGAGGUCAGAUUCAAUAUAAUGGUUGACCUAGUUAUUAGAGUGCAAAAUAUUUCAGUCAAGAACUUCUGCUUUCAGUUCUCAGGGUGCUUUUUUGUCUACAUAUGAUUUAUCUUCGGUCAAAUUGCUGAUCCCAAAGCCGCACAUAAAUCUGCAUUUACUGUAGGAAGUUUCUAGACAGAUAUUGACAUGCGUAAUAUGUUUAAUGAUAACUAUGAUCAUAGCAGCUAUUAAAAAAUUAAGCAUUUCCCUCGUCUCU